UGGGGAAUUUUGCGCAAUGGGCUAACGCCUGACGCAGCAACGCCGCGUGGAGGAUGAAGGUCCUUGGAUUGUAAACUCCUGUCAGCAGGGAAAAAGCAAUUUAGCCUCAUACGCUAGAGAGUUGAUUGUACCUGCAGAGGAAGCCCCGGCUAACUCUGUGCCAGCAGCCGCGGUAAUACAGAGGGGGCAAGCGUUAUUCGGAAUUAUUGGGCGUAAAGGGCGCGUAGGCGGCAUGACAAGUGGAUGGUGAAAUCCCUCGGCUUAACCGAGGAACUGCCAUCCAGACUGUUUUGCUUGAGGCCGGGAGAGGUGAGUGGAAUUCCCAGUGUAGCGGUGAAAUGCGUAGAUAUUGGGAGGAACACCAGUGGCGAAGGCGGCUCACUGGACCGGUUCUGACGCUGAGGCGCGAAAGCGUGGGGAGCAAACGGGAUUAGAUACCCCCGUAGUCC
Molecule: ribosomal RNA, 449 nt
Filed under: uncultured bacterium
Lineage: Bacteria
Description: bacterial SSU rRNA
Rfam family: Bacterial small subunit ribosomal RNA
Source: RNAcentral